AACGCAUAUUGCGCCCUCUGGUAUUCCGGGGGGCAUGCCUGUCCGAGCGUCAUUACAACCUUCAAGCACGGCUUGUGUGUUGAGCGGUCUGUUCAGCAUGAACAGGGCUCGAAAUGCAGUGGCGACGGCGAGAUGUGCCCGAGUGUAUGGGGCUCUGUCACACGCUCUGGUGGCUCAGCUUGCAGUCCGCCCAAACUGUGUAUAUAUAUGCUCUGUAUAUAUAUACCAAAUCAAUCUGAUUGACCUCGGAUCAGGUAGGGACACCCGCUGAACUUAA
RNAcentral lists this unclassified non-coding RNA (277 nucleotides) under uncultured soil eukaryote. RNAcentral describes it as "sequence contains 5.8S rRNA gene, ITS2, 28S rRNA gene". The stretch from base 1 to 52 matches the Rfam family "5.8S ribosomal RNA", at positions 103 to 154 of the family's 154-position model. The record is from RNAcentral.